Molecule: ribosomal RNA, 121 nt
Filed under: Notechis scutatus (mainland tiger snake)
Lineage: Eukaryota; Metazoa; Chordata; Lepidosauria; Squamata; Elapidae
Source: RNAcentral
AUGCAUAGUUUUACUACAAAUACGAAGCUGACCUAAUUUGUCUAAUCUGAAAAGAUAAGCCAUUUCAGACCUGUUUAAUACCUGGAUGGGAGAUCACCAGGAAACAGCAGGGCUGUUCAUU